This 465-nucleotide ribosomal RNA is filed under the name uncultured bacterium. RNAcentral's name for it is "partial 16S ribosomal RNA". It matches the Rfam family "Bacterial small subunit ribosomal RNA", at positions 28 to 507 of the family's 1533-position model. The record is from RNAcentral.
GACGAACGCUGGCGGCGUGCUUAACACAUGCAAGUCGAACGGAAAGGCCCUGCUUGCAGGGUACUCGAGUGGCGAACGGGUGAGUAACACGUGGGUGAUCUGCCCUGCACUUCUGGGUAAGCCUUGGGAACUGGGGCUAAUACCGGAGAGGAGCGAUUUUGAGGGUGGUGGUUGGAUAGUUUUUUCGGUGUGGGGUGAGCGCGCGGCCUAUCAGCUUGUUGGUGGGGUAAUGGCCUACCAAGGCGGCGACGGGUAGCCGGCCUGAGGGGGUGGACGGCCAACAUGGGAAUGAGAUACGGCCCAGAACCCUACGGGGGGCAGCAGUGGGGAAUAUUGCCACAUGGGGGCAAGCCUGAUGCAGGGAAGCCGCGUGGGGGAAGACCGCCUUCGGGUUGGAAAACCGCUUCGCUAGGGACGAAGCUGUUUGUGACGGUAACUAGAUAAGAAGCACCGGCUAACUACGUG